This 430-nucleotide long non-coding RNA is filed under the name Mytilus galloprovincialis (Mediterranean mussel). Lineage: Eukaryota; Metazoa; Mollusca; Bivalvia; Mytilida; Mytilidae. The record is from RNAcentral.
UAGAGUCUUUAUCAAAGUAUUAAAGGUACUCGAAGAAAUGGUGAAGUUGAAGCAUGAAUUAACUGUUUCAGUGUUAAAUUUAACAUAAUUAAUUGAAUAAUUUUAGUUCAUACGUAAUUAUGUAUUUCAAUGUCAUUUUAAUUUUGAUUAUUUGUAUUAUUGAAAAAGAGACAUUAUUUGAUAUUGUAUUAAAAAUACGAUAUUAAAUAAUUAAUACGUAAUAAAUUGUAUGUCUUGUAUCAGAGUUAAUUUUAUUUGAUUGUUUCAUAAUGGGUUUCUAUUAAAUAUACACCUGUCUCGGACACAUAAUGUCACAGUGUGACAUGUAUAUUCGGAUUGAAUUAUCCGAUGGUCAGGUAAAUCACAACCUGUUAAAAUGAGUUUUAUUUGACACCUGGUACACACGAAGUAGUUACACCACAGGUGUACA